CUGAAUGUCGGCGCUCAGCUGGGCACUGGGGAUACAGAAGCACAAAGCACCUGCCCCUCAAGAGAGGAUGGCGGAAGGUCCCAAAGAGAAAUUUCUGACUUUCCAUGUGGAGAGGACUACCUGGAUCACCCUAGAAACCCUAAAAGACCUUCUUGGGCUGAAAAUGAAGGACCUCGAAGCUCCUCUUGUGAUGGGGGAACACUUCUUUUGGUGACAGCGAAGAGGCCACAGUUCCUGCCUCCUGCACAGAACAUCAAAACUAGUGAAAGAAGAUGAGUGUGCGGUCUGUUUCCUCCCGCCAGCAGCAAGUGAGAACAGCCCCCACAGGCUCUGCUAAAGAGCCCGCAGCAUUUUCGCAGGCGGAACGGUUACGGGGGAGUCCUGCAGCGCCCCUUCUCCCACUCCGCAGAGCCAACGUCAGGCGCUGUCUGGGAGCCACCCAACUAGGAGAGGCAGGUAAGUUAACUGGAAAGCAGAGUCCCUGCAGGACCAGCCUGGGGAAGUGGCCCUGAGGGGUGAAACGGAAGAUAAAACAGAACCGCUUUUGGUUUACAAACUACCCAAGAAAAACCAGUCUCUUUUUCACUUGUCUUUUGACCAAAAAGUGUAUUAGCCAAACUGAGGCCCUGCCUAAUCCAGCAAGCCGGCUUCUGAAUGUCUUUCGCCUCUUACCACAAAUCCAAUCCACUUCAAAGAAUGAAGAUUUAUCACCACAGAGGCCACAGGCUCUGAAAGAACAUCCCUCAAAGAGUUCCCACAAUGUCCGGAGGAGGACGGCGCGACUAAGACAAAUGUGCAAGCUCUCCCAAGGAGACGGCCCCAAGGACUCACAUUUAUUUGCUGGUCUAGGUUUCAAGAUUUUCAUGGAAAAUAAUCACAUGACUUCAUGGCUGUCUUUCCUUUAUUGAUGUCACUGCUGUCAUUUGUACCUCAUUUGCUGAUGUCACUGUUCUCAUAACAUACCGUGUUUACUGCCAUCCCUCUUGAGACAUCUCAACUCUUCAAACUCAUCCACAAGCUCCCUCUCCCACAACACACCCAUCUGUCUGUCAUUGUCACAUCUGCACACUGAUCCAGACCGUUCUGCCCUAUAAAUGACACACUGUAACCUUGGUAGAGUGACUCCCAUAAGCUGCAGGAGUUCUGCUCUGUGAACACAGGCAGAACAAUGGUUUUCCAAGACAGGGUCCCAAGACACAUCUGGAAACAACCACAUCAUGAGAGAGUCAUGAUAUUGUGUGUGACUGGUUUUCAAUUUCAUUUUAACUUUAGAAUGCAUUUUUAUAAUAAGACUAAGACUGGAUUUAACAAAAUAUAAAGUAGUUUCAGUAAUACAUGGUACCUUUAAAUUAAAUGCUCCGCCCCCCAACAGAAGAAACACAGCAAAUUUCUUUAAAAGAUCGUUUUCUUGUUGGAGCAACAAAUGCCAGCCUUAACCUGGAAGAAGCCCUAGUUUCUGUUUUCAUUCCUGUCUCCAGAAAGGUACAAGAUUAUGA
Equus asinus (donkey) is the source of this 1496-nucleotide long non-coding RNA. Lineage: Eukaryota; Metazoa; Chordata; Mammalia; Perissodactyla; Equidae. The record is from Ensembl.